AGUGAACGCUGGCGGUAGGCCUAACACAUGCAAGUCGAACGGCAGCACAGUAAGAGCUUGCUCUUACGGGUGGCGAGUGGCGGACGGGUGAGGAAUACAUCGGAAUCUACUUUUUCGUGGGGGAUAACGUAGGGAAACUUACGCUAAUACCGCAUACGACCUACGGGUGAAAGCAGGGGAUCUUCGGACCUUGCGCGAUUGAAUGAGCCGAUGUCGGAUUAGCUAGUUGGCGGGGUAAAGGCCCACCAAGGCGACGAUCCGUAGCUGGUCUGAGAGGAUGAUCAGCCACACUGGAACUGAGACACGGUCCAGACUCCUAUGGGAGGCAGCAGUGGGGAAUAUUGGACAAUGGGCGCAAGCCUGAUCCAGCCAUACCGCGUGGGUGAAGAAGGCCUUCGGGUUGUAAAGCCCUUUUGUUGGGAAAGAAAGGCAGCAGGUUAAUACCCCGCUGUUCUGACGGUACCCAAAGAAUAAGCACCGGCUAACUUCGUG
This 492-nucleotide ribosomal RNA is filed under the name uncultured bacterium. RNAcentral describes it as "partial 16S ribosomal RNA". It matches the Rfam family "Bacterial small subunit ribosomal RNA", at positions 29 to 507 of the family's 1533-position model. The record is from RNAcentral.